GGUGCGAUACCCAAGUGGUCCAAGGGGAUGGUCUGCAAAACCAUUAUUCGCGGGUUCGAAUCCCGCUCGCACCUCCA
Molecule: transfer RNA, 77 nt
Filed under: Elusimicrobiota bacterium
Lineage: Bacteria; Pseudomonadati; Elusimicrobiota
Also listed under: 1 other name
Description: tRNA-Cys
Rfam family: tRNA
About the family: Transfer RNA (tRNA) molecules are approximately 80 nucleotides in length. Their secondary structure includes four short double-helical elements and three loops (D, anti-codon, and T loops). Further hydrogen bonds mediate the characteristic L-shaped molecular structure. tRNAs have two regions of fundamental functional importance: the anti-codon, which is responsible for specific mRNA codon recognition, and the 3' end, to which the tRNAs corresponding amino acid is attached (by aminoacyl-tRNA synthetases). tRNAs cope with the degeneracy of the genetic code in two manners: having more than one tRNA (with a specific anti-codon) for a particular amino acid; and 'wobble' base-pairing, i.e. permitting non-standard base-pairing at the 3rd anti-codon position.
Source: RNAcentral